RNAcentral lists this ribosomal RNA (253 nucleotides) under uncultured bacterium. RNAcentral describes it as "partial 16S ribosomal RNA". It matches the Rfam family "Bacterial small subunit ribosomal RNA", at positions 524 to 776 of the family's 1533-position model. The record is from RNAcentral.
UACGUAGGGUGCAAGCGUUAAUCGGAAUUAUUGGGCGUAAAGAGCGUGUAGGCGGUUCGGUAAGUCUGCCGUGAAAACCUGGGGCUCAACCCUGGGCGUGCGGUGGAUACUGCCGGGCUAGAGGAUGGUAGAGGCGAGUGGAAUUCCCGGUGUAGCGGUGAAAUGCGCAGAUAUCGGGAGGAACACCAGUAGCGAAGGCGGCUCGCUGGGCCAUUCCUGACGCUGAGACGCGAAAGCUAGGGGAGCGAACAGG